This 789-nucleotide ribosomal RNA is filed under the name Triticum aestivum (bread wheat). RNAcentral describes it as "partial small subunit ribosomal RNA". The record is from RNAcentral. Lineage: Eukaryota; Viridiplantae; Streptophyta; Magnoliopsida; Poales; Poaceae.
AUGUCAUAUGCACAAGCUUUACCAUCGAAAAAUGAUGAUGACACAAAAUAUUAUUUUGCCGUACAUUUGAUGGAAGAUAAUGAUAAUGGAUACUAUGGAAUAUCUGCUAACAUGGAUGUGUAUGGACACAAUCUUAAUGUCGGACAACUGUCAGCGGGUGCAAUUUGUAUUCAUAACUGGGAAGGUGAUGUUAACAAAAAACUCAAUUCAAUUAUUGUUGGUUGGGUGGUUUGGCCAUAUCGAUUUAAUGACUCGCGUACUCACCUUUUUACGGUUUGGACAAAAGAUAAUCAUCAAAGUACAGGGUGUGUCAACCUCGAUUGUCCUGGCUUUAAACUCGUGAAGGGGUCCCCCAUAUCUCCCGGUGGUAUCAUAAGCCCUGUCUCCGGUAUCAAUAGGAAACGCCAAACGAUUACUAUUAGAGUGUCCAAGGAAAGUUCAAGUGGGGACUGGUGGUUGUAUUAUGGCAUCAACGGUGUCCCAAUUCCAGUAGGUUACUUCCCAGCAUCACUAUUUGAUAGCUUAUCUACAAAAUCCACUCAAAUCUCGAUUGGAGGCCAUGCUCGAAGUACUACAAAUAAUACAACUCCUCCUAUGGGAAGUGGAGCCUUUGCCUCUAACCCUGGUCAAGCUGCAUCUAUCCAUGAUAUCUGGCUCAUCCACAAGGAUGGUAGAAGCACCCCAAUUGGCAAUGAUGCACGCACUAAAGUUACAGAUGGCAAGCUCUACUCUGCCUCACCCAUAGGAAGAGCGCAAUUCUUUUAUGGAGGCCCGGGAGGGAAAUCUUAG